RNAcentral lists this ribosomal RNA (465 nucleotides) under Vreelandella stevensii. Its description in RNAcentral is "partial 16S ribosomal RNA". It matches the Rfam family "Bacterial small subunit ribosomal RNA", at positions 338 to 795 of the family's 1533-position model. Lineage: Bacteria; Pseudomonadati; Pseudomonadota; Gammaproteobacteria; Oceanospirillales; Halomonadaceae. The record is from RNAcentral.
CCUACGGGAGGCAGCAGUGGGGAAUAUUGGACAAUGGGGGGAACCCUGAUCCAGCCAUGCCGCGUGUGUGAAGAAGGCCCUCGGGUUGUAAAGCACUUUCAGUGAGGAAGAACGCCUGGUGGUUAAUACCCAUCAGGAAAGACAUCACUCACAGAAGAAGCACCGGCUAACUCCGUGCCAGCAGCCGCGGUAAUACGGAGGGUGCGAGCGUUAAUCGGAAUUACUGGGCGUAAAGCGCGCGUAGGUGGCUUGAUAAGCCGGUAGUGAAAGCCCCGGGCUCAACCUGGGAACGGCAUCCGGAACUGUCAAGCUAGAGUGCAGGAGAGGAAGGUAGAAUUCCCGGUGUAGCGGUGAAAUGCGUAGAGAUCGGGAGGAAUACCAGUGGCGAAGGCGGCCUUCUGGACUGACACUGACACUGAGGUGCGAAAGCGUGGGUAGCAAACAGGAUUAGAUACCCUAGUAGUC